CCUACGGGGGGCAGCAGUGAGGAAUAUUGGUCAAUGGACGCAAGUCUGAACCAGCCAUGCCGCGUGCAGGAAGACGGCUCUAUGAGUUGUAAACUGCUUUUGUACGAGGGUAAACGCAGAUACGCGUACCUGUCUGAAAGUAUCGUACGAAUAAGGAUCGGCUAACUCCGUGCCAGCAGCCGCGGUAAUACGGAGGAUUCAAGCGUUAUCCGGAUUUAUUGGGUUUAAAGGGUGCGUAGGCGGGCGGAUAAGUUAGAGGUGAAAUCCCGAGGCUCAACUUCGGAAUUGCAUCUGAUACUGGCAGGCUAGAGAGUAGUAGCGGUAGGCGGAAUGUAUGGUGUAGCGGUGAAAUGCUUAGAGAUCAUACAGAACACCGAUUGCGAAGGCAGCUUACCAAGCUACUUCUGACGUUGAGGCACGAAAGCGUGGGGAGCAAACAGGAUUAGAUACCCGUGUAGUC
Molecule: ribosomal RNA, 460 nt
Filed under: uncultured bacterium
Lineage: Bacteria
Description: partial 16S ribosomal RNA
Rfam family: Bacterial small subunit ribosomal RNA
Source: RNAcentral